CGGACCUGACUGCUAUCGGAUUGAUACUAAGCCAUGCGAGUCAUUGCAGUAAUGCAAGGCAGACGGCUCAGUAACGCGUAGUCAACCUACCCUAUGGACGGGAAUAACCUCGGGAAACUGAGUAUAAUGCCCGAUAGAACACUAUUCCUGGAAUGGUUUGUGUUCCAAAUGAUUUAUCGCCGUAGGAUGGGACUGCGGCCUAUCAGUUUGUUGGUGAGGUAAUGGCCCACCAAGACUAUUACAGGUACGGGCUCUGAGAGGAGUAGCCCGGAGAUGGGUACUGAGACACGGACCCAGGCCCUAUGGGGCGCAGCAGGCGAGAAAACUUUGCAAUGUGCGAAAGCACGACAAGGUUAAUCCGAGUGGUUUGUGCUAAACGAACCUUUUGACAGUCCUAGAAACACUGUUGAAUAAGGGGUGGGCAAGUUCUGGUGUCAGCCGCCGCGGUAAAACCAGCACCUCAAGUGGUCAGGAUGAUUAUUGGGCCUAAAGCAUCCGUAGCCGGCUCUGUAAGUUUUCGGUUAAAUCUGUACGCUCAACGUACAGGCUGCCGGGAAUACUGCAGAGCUAGGGAGUGGGAGAGGUAGACGGUACUCGGUAGGAAGGGGUAAAAUCCUUUGAUCUAUUGAUGACCACCUGUGGCGAAGGCGGUCUACCAGAACACGUCCGACGGUGAGGGAUGAAAGCUGGGGGAGCAAACCGGAUUAGAUACCCGGGUAGUCCCAGCUGUAAACUAUGCAAACUCAGUGAUGCAUUGGCUUGUGGCCAAUGCAGUGCUGCAGGGAAGCCGUUAAGUUUGCCGCCUGGGAAGUACGUACGCAAGUAUGAAACUUAAAGGAAUUGGCGGGG
This 849-nucleotide ribosomal RNA is filed under the name uncultured archaeon. RNAcentral's name for it is "bacterial SSU rRNA". It matches the Rfam family "Archaeal small subunit ribosomal RNA", at positions 18 to 873 of the family's 1478-position model. The record is from RNAcentral.